Molecule: ribosomal RNA, 254 nt
Filed under: uncultured bacterium
Lineage: Bacteria
Description: partial 16S ribosomal RNA
Rfam family: Bacterial small subunit ribosomal RNA
Source: RNAcentral
UACGAGGGGGGGCGAGCGUUGUUCGGAAUUAUUGGGCGUAAAGGGUGCGUAGGCGGUUUGGUAAGUCUCUUGUGAAAUCUAUGGGCUCAACUCAUAGUCUGCAAGGGAAACUGCCGGGCUUGAGUGUGGGAGAGGUGAGUGGAAUUUCCGGUGUAGCGGUGAAAUGCGUAGAUAUCGGAAGGAACACCUGUGGCGAAAGCGGCUCACUGGACCACAACUGACGCUGAUGCACGAAAGCUAGGGGAGCAAACAGG